GUGCCAGCAGCCGCGGUAAUACGUAGGGCGCAAGCGUUGUCCGGAAUUAUUGGGCGUAAAGAGCUCGUAGGCGGUUUGUCGCGUCUGCUGUGAAAGCCCGGGGCUCAACCCCGGGUCUGCAGUGGGUACGGGCAGACUAGAGUGCAGUAGGGGAGACUGGAAUUCCUGGUGUAGCGGUGAAAUGCGCAGAUAUCAGGAGGAACACCGAUGGCGAAGGCAGGUCUCUGGGCUGUUACUGACGCUGAGGAGCGAAAGCAUGGGGAGCGAACAGGAUUAGAUACCCUGGUAGUCCAUGCCGUAAACGUUGGGCACUAGGUGUGGGGGGCAUUCCACGUUCUCCGCGCCGUAGCUAACGCAUUAAGUGCCCCGCCUGGGGAGUACGGCCGCAAGGCUAAA
Molecule: ribosomal RNA, 396 nt
Filed under: uncultured bacterium
Lineage: Bacteria
Description: bacterial SSU rRNA
Rfam family: Bacterial small subunit ribosomal RNA
Source: RNAcentral